This 406-nucleotide ribosomal RNA is filed under the name uncultured bacterium. RNAcentral describes it as "partial 16S ribosomal RNA". It matches the Rfam family "Bacterial small subunit ribosomal RNA", at positions 30 to 526 of the family's 1533-position model. The record is from RNAcentral.
AUUGAACGCUGGCGGCAGGCUUAACACAUGCAAGUCGAACGAGCGGCGGACGGGUGAGUAAUGUAUGGGGAUCUGCCUGAGGGAGGGGGAUAACUACUGGAAACGGUAGCUAAUACCGCAUACCAUCAGAUGCACCCAUAUGGGAUUAGCUUGUAGGUGGUGUAACGGCUCACCUAGGCGACGAUCCCUAGCUGGUCUGAGAGGAUGAUCAGCCACACUGUGACAGAGGCACGGCCCAGACUCCUACGGGAGGCAGCAGUGGGGAAUAUUGGGGAAUGGGGGCAACCCUGAAGCAGCCAUGCCGCGUGAAUGAAGAAGGCCUUGGGGUUGUAAAGUUCUUUCGGUAGCGAGGCGUUAACUACAGAAGAAGCACCGGCUAACUCCGUGCCAGCAGCCGCGGUAAUUC